UCCCUGGUGGUCUAGUGGCUAAGACUUCACAAUCCCAAUGCAAGGAGUCUAGGUUCAAUCCCUAAUCGGGGAA
This 73-nucleotide transfer RNA is filed under the name Ovis aries (sheep). It matches the Rfam family "tRNA". From Rfam's summary of the family: Transfer RNA (tRNA) molecules are approximately 80 nucleotides in length. Their secondary structure includes four short double-helical elements and three loops (D, anti-codon, and T loops). The record is from Rfam by way of RNAcentral. Lineage: Eukaryota; Metazoa; Chordata; Mammalia; Artiodactyla; Bovidae.